AGUGAACGCUGGCGGUAGGCCUAACACAUGCAAGUCGAACGGCAGCACAGUAAGAGCUUGCUCUUACGGGUGGCGAGUGGCGGACGGGUGAGGAAUACAUCGGCAUCUACUUUUUCGUGGGGGAUAACGUAGGGAAACUUACGCUAAUACCGCAUACGACCUACGGGUGAAAGCAGGGGAUCUUCGGACCUUGCGCGAUUGAAUGAGCCGAUGUCGGAUUAGCUAGUUGGCGGGGUAAAGGCCCACCAAGGCGAGGAUCCGUAGCUGGUCUGAGAGGAUGAUCAGCCACACUGGAACUGAGACACGGUCCAGACUCCUACGGGAGGCAGCAGUGGGGAAUAUUGGGCAAUGGGCGCAAGCCUGGUCCAGCCAUACCGCGUGGGUGAAGAAGGCCUUCGGGUUGUAAAGCCCUUUUGUUGGGAAAGAAAAGCAGCAGGUUAAUACCCCGCUGUUCUGACGGUACCCAAAGAAUAAGCGCCGGCUAACUUCGUG
This 492-nucleotide ribosomal RNA is filed under the name uncultured bacterium. RNAcentral's name for it is "partial 16S ribosomal RNA". It matches the Rfam family "Bacterial small subunit ribosomal RNA", at positions 29 to 507 of the family's 1533-position model. The record is from RNAcentral.